GACGAACGCUGGCGGCGUGCCUAACACAUGCAAGUUGAGCGAGAGACUUCGGUCUCUAGCGGCGGACGGGUGAGUAACACGUGGGUAACCUGCCUCGUAGUGGGGGAUAGCCUUUCGAAAGGAAGAUUAAUACCGCAUAAUAUAGUUUAGCCGCAUGGCUAGAUUAUCAAAGGAGUAAUCCGCUAUGAGAUGGACCCGCGGCGCAUUAGCUAGUUGGUGAGGUAACGGCUCACCAAGGCGACGAUGCGUAGCCGACCUGAGAGGGUGAUCGGCCACAUUGGAACUGAGAUACGGUCCAAACUCCUACGGGAGGCAGCAGUGGGGAAUAUUGCACAAUGGGCGAAAGCCUGAUGCAGCAACGCCGCGUGAGUGAUGAAGGCCUUCGGGUUGUAAAGCUCUGUCUUUGGGGACGAUAAUGACGGUACCCAAGGAGGAAGCCACGGCUAACUACGUGCCAGCAGCCGCGGUAAUACGUAGGUGGCAAGCGUUGUCCGGAUUUACUGGGCGUAAAGGAUGCGUAGGUGGAUAUUUAAGUCAGAUGUGAAAUACCCGAGCUUAACUUGGGUGCUGCAUUUGAAACUGGAUAUCUAGAGUGCAGGAGAGGUAAGUGGAAUUCCUAGUGUAGCGGUGAGAUGCGUAGAGAUUAGGAAGAACACCAGUGGCGAAGGCGACUUACUGGACUGUAACUGACACUGAGGCAUGAAAGCGUGGGGAGCAAACAGGAUUAGAUACCCUGGUAGUCCACGCCGUAAACGAUGAGUACUAGGUGUGGGAGGUAUCGACUCCUUCCGUGCCGCCGUUAACACAAUAAGUACCCCGCCUGGGGAGUACGGUCGCAAGAUUA
Molecule: ribosomal RNA, 844 nt
Filed under: uncultured bacterium
Lineage: Bacteria
Description: bacterial SSU rRNA
Rfam family: Bacterial small subunit ribosomal RNA
Source: RNAcentral